UACGUAGGGUGCAAGCGUUGUCCGGAAUUAUUGGGCGUAAAGAGCUCGUAGGCGGUUUGUCGCGUCUGCUGUGAAAACUCGGGGCUUAACUCCGGGCCUGCAGUGGGUACGGGGCAGACUAGAGUGCGGUAGGGGAGACUGGAAUUCCUGGUGUAGCGGUGAAAUGCGCAGAUAUCAGGAGGAACACCGGUGGCGAAGGCGGGUCUCUGGGCAGUAACUGACGCUGAGGAGCGAAAGCGUGGGGAGCGAACAGG
This 254-nucleotide ribosomal RNA is filed under the name uncultured bacterium. RNAcentral describes it as "partial 16S ribosomal RNA". It matches the Rfam family "Bacterial small subunit ribosomal RNA", at positions 524 to 776 of the family's 1533-position model. The record is from RNAcentral.